Molecule: long non-coding RNA, 371 nt
Filed under: Bos taurus (domestic cattle)
Lineage: Eukaryota; Metazoa; Chordata; Mammalia; Artiodactyla; Bovidae
Description: long non-coding RNA NONBTAT000702
Source: RNAcentral
CCUACAACAGGAAUCAAUUUGUUCAAAAGGUUAUCUUCUCAUUGUUUGGCUCCGUAAGUUAUUUCGUUUUGUUUCCUUAAAGCUCGUGAGAUUUGUACUAUGCCUAGAUAGUCUUAUUUACACCAUUAUUUUCAGUGGCUGAUUACUAAUUGUUUUUUAAAAAUGAUGCACUGAUGAAAAUGUGAAAGGAAAAUAACUGUGGCACUAUUUGCCAAGAAAAAAAUGGAUAAAAAAGAAUUUUAUCAACUUUUUUUUUUUUUUACCAUUUUUCAGAAAAGAUACAAUUAUCUUUUCUAUAUCCCGUCUAUAUUAGAUUGUUGUACAUUCUGUGUGUGUAUUUUCAAAUCAUCUAUAAAAUUCUACUUCCUUUA